UACGAAGGGUGCAAGCGUUACUCGGAAUUACUGGGCGUAAAGGGUGCGUAGGUGGUCUUUUAAGUCCGUUGUGAAAUCCCUGGGCUCAACCUGGGAAUGGCAGUGGAUACUGGAAGGCUAGAGUGCGGUAGAGGGUAGUGGAAUUCCCGGUGUAGCAGUGAAAUGCGUAGAGAUCGGGAGGAACACCAGUGGCGAAGGCGGCUACCUGGACCAGCACUGACACUGAGGCACGAAAGCGUGGGGAGCAAACAGG
This 253-nucleotide ribosomal RNA is filed under the name uncultured bacterium. RNAcentral describes it as "partial 16S ribosomal RNA". It matches the Rfam family "Bacterial small subunit ribosomal RNA", at positions 524 to 776 of the family's 1533-position model. The record is from RNAcentral.